ACGGCUGAGUUGGUAGACCAGGAGUCUCUUAAUCUCAAUGUUGUGGGUUCAAGCCCCAUGUUGGGUA
This is a non-coding RNA of Podarcis lilfordi (Lilford's wall lizard), 67 nucleotides long. NCBI's taxonomy places the organism in Eukaryota, Metazoa, Chordata, Lepidosauria, Squamata, Lacertidae. The record is from the annotation of a GenBank genome assembly.